This 628-nucleotide ribosomal RNA is filed under the name Penthorum sedoides. RNAcentral describes it as "eukaryotic LSU rRNA". The stretch from base 241 to 396 matches the Rfam family "5.8S ribosomal RNA". The record is from RNAcentral. Lineage: Eukaryota; Viridiplantae; Streptophyta; Magnoliopsida; Saxifragales; Penthoraceae.
CCCGUGAACCUGUAAAACAAUCGGGUGCGGGGGUGGUGCCUCAAACGGCGCCCCGUCGCCCCAUUGCCGGGGAGCGUCGCGCCUCCCUCCUUUUGCCCUCGACUGGAGUGCCGAUCCCGCGGCUCCUCCCCGGUCCAACAACGAACCCCGGCGCGGACAGCGCCAAGGAACUCAAAACGAAUGGCAUGCCCCGCGCACCAUCGCGUGCACGCGGGGCGAUGUAAACUUCGAUACUAUAACGACUCUCGGCAACGGAUAUCUCGGCUCUCGCAUCGAUGAAGAACGUAGCGAAAUGCGAUACUUGGUGUGAAUUGCAGAAUCCCGUGAACCAUCGAGUCUUUGAACGCAAGUUGCGCCCAAAGCCAUUUGGCCGAGGGCACGUCUGCCUGGGCGUCACACAUCGCGCUGCUCCCCCAACCCUGCCCUCAGGGGCACGGGUGUUCGGGGAGCGCACAUUGGCCUCCCGUUCAUCACCGGACGGAUGGCCCAAAAGCAAGCCUCGGGGUGACGAAAGGUCACGACAAGCGGUGGUUGAUUAUAUUCGGCCGUGGGCGUGUCGUGCCUGCCCGUCCCGAAGAGAGCUCACGCAUCCCCGACACAUUGCCUAGGCAAUGCUUGCAUCGCGACC